This 972-nucleotide ribosomal RNA is filed under the name Triticum aestivum (bread wheat). RNAcentral describes it as "partial small subunit ribosomal RNA". Lineage: Eukaryota; Viridiplantae; Streptophyta; Magnoliopsida; Poales; Poaceae. The record is from RNAcentral.
AUGGCCGGAGGCGACGCGUCGACCGUGGCGGGGCCAGGGGCGGAGGUGGACGCGGGCUUCGAGUUCGCCUUCGACAAUGAGGCCUUCUCCGACAGGGAGCUGCGUAUAGUGGUCGUCGGCGCCGACGACGCCGCCGGCCGCAAGCGCCGGCGCGAGGCGGCCGAAGGUGAUGGUGGAGAAGAUAUCGACUCUUCUUGUACUGUGACGAGUACACCAGUUUUACAAGUUGAAACUAUACAUGUCUGCUCGGCGACUCUUGCUGCAAAAAGUAAUUUCUUUCGCAAGCUUUUCUCAAAUGGCAUGAAGGAAUCUGGCCAUAGACAGGCAACAGUUACAAUUGCUGACUCGGAGUACGAAGCCUUCCUGGAGCUUUUACACUUUAUUUAUAGUGGAAAGCUGACACCAACUGAACCCAUUCUUGUGGUUGAUAUCCUGCUGGCUGCUGAUAAAUUUGAGGUUGCUUCUUGCAUUAAGCUUUGCGGUGAACGGCUCGUAGACCUGCCUAUGACCGCAGAAUCUGCAGUAAUGUGCCUAGAUCUCCCAUGUUCCAUUUCAAUGGCACCUGCCCUGGCAGAGGCGGCCAAGAAAUUCCUUGCUAAAAGAUACGAUAAAUUCCUGUUGACAAAGUUUCAGGAUGAACUGAUGAGGAUAUCUCUCACUGGGAUUGUAGCCAUUUUAUCAAGGAAUCACCCCGGGGUUGCAUCUGAAGAGUCCGUCUAUGACUUUGUGCUCAGGUGGGCCCACUUUCAGUAUCCAAAUCCAGAAGAGAGGCACAAGAUUUUGAGUUCAAGCUUACUUCCACUGGUGCCAGUAGUGCGCAGCAUGACCAAUGGCAUCCUGAUUGACCAGCCGUCCUGUAUAGUUGACUUUACUCAGUCGUGGGCAAUGCUCGGGGCUCUUCCCAUCAGGAUCGAUACGCUCCCCGCCGUUCUAUUGUGGAGGGCAUGGUUUCUUCCUCUCGGCGCACGGUAA